This 377-nucleotide ribosomal RNA is filed under the name uncultured bacterium. Its description in RNAcentral is "bacterial SSU rRNA". It matches the Rfam family "Bacterial small subunit ribosomal RNA", at positions 523 to 898 of the family's 1533-position model. The record is from RNAcentral.
AUACGUAGGGGGCAAGCGUUAUCCGGAAUUACUGGGUGUAAAGGGCGUGUAGGCGGGGAUACAAGUCAGAUGUGAAAUUCCAUGGCUCAACUGUGAAGCUGCAUCUGAAACUGUGUUUCUUGAGUGCCGGAGAGGAAAGCGGAAUUCCAAGCGUAGCGGUGAAAUGCGUAGAGAUUUGGAGGAACACCAGUGGCGAAGGCGGCUUUCUGGACGGUAACUGACGCUGAGGCGCGAAAGCGUGGGGAGCAAACAGGAUUAGAUACCCUGGUAGUCCACGCCGUAAACGAUGGAUACUAGGUGUAGGAGGUAUCGACCCCUUCUGUGCCGGAGUUAACACAAUAAGUAUCCCACCUGGGGAGUACGGCCGCAAGGUUGAA